CCAUCUUCCUCCCAUCUCUU
This 20-nucleotide small nuclear RNA is filed under the name Arabidopsis thaliana (thale cress). RNAcentral describes it as "snRNA_08501". Lineage: Eukaryota; Viridiplantae; Streptophyta; Magnoliopsida; Brassicales; Brassicaceae. The record is from RNAcentral.